AGCUGUGCACAGUGGCAGUGUCAUAGCCAAUGAGUCGAUCAGAGGCAUGAUUAUUGCUAAUAGAAACCCCAACCCAACUCACUGCCAUCGAGCCCAUUCUGACUCACAGUGACUGGACAUCAGGUUUCCCGUACUGGAAAUCUUUGCUGGAGUGAACCCACU
RNAcentral lists this small nuclear RNA (162 nucleotides) under Echinops telfairi (small Madagascar hedgehog). RNAcentral describes it as "U4 spliceosomal RNA (ENSETEG00000025786.1)". It matches the Rfam family "U4 spliceosomal RNA". From Rfam's summary of the family: U4 small nuclear RNA (U4 snRNA) is a component of the major U2-dependent spliceosome. The structure of U4 snRNA from yeast and human has been reported. Lineage: Eukaryota; Metazoa; Chordata; Mammalia; Afrosoricida; Tenrecidae. The record is from RNAcentral.